This 332-nucleotide ribosomal RNA is filed under the name uncultured Phaselicystis sp. Its description in RNAcentral is "bacterial SSU rRNA". It matches the Rfam family "Bacterial small subunit ribosomal RNA", at positions 568 to 898 of the family's 1533-position model. Lineage: Bacteria; Pseudomonadati; Myxococcota; Polyangiales; Phaselicystidaceae. The record is from RNAcentral.
CGUGUAGGCGGCAACGCAAGUCGGAUGUGAAAGCCCAUGGCUCAACCAUGGAAGUGCACCCGAAACUGCGUUGCUAGAGUCUCGGAGAGGAAGGUGGAAUGCUUGGUGUAGAGGUGAAAUUCGUAGAUAUCAAGCGGAACACCGGUGGCGAAGGCGGCCUUCUGGACGAGUACUGACGCUGAGACGCGAAAGCGUGGGUAGCAAACAGGAUUAGAUACCCUGGUAGUCCACGCCGUAAACGAUGAGUGCUAGGUGUCAGAGGCUUUGACCCUUCUGGUGCCGAAGCUAACGCGUUAAGCACUCCGCCUGGGGAGUACGGCCGCAAGGCUAAA